Molecule: unclassified non-coding RNA, 250 nt
Filed under: plant metagenome
Description: partial contains 5.8S ribosomal RNA, internal transcribed spacer 2, and large subunit ribosomal RNA
Rfam family: Bacterial small subunit ribosomal RNA
Source: RNAcentral
GAGGGUGCAAGCGUUAUCCGGAUUUAUUGGGUUUAAAGGGUCCGUAGGCGGACUUGUAAGUCAGUGGUGAAAUCUCAUAGCUUAACUAUGAAACUGCCAUUGAUACUGCAGGUCUUGAGUAAAUUUGAAGUGGCUGGAAUAAGUAGUGUAGCGGUGAAAUGCAUAGAUAUUACUUAGAACACCAAUUGCGAAGGCAGGUCACUAAGAUUUAACUGACGCUGAUGGACGAAAGCGUGGGUAGCGAACAGGA